Molecule: small nuclear RNA, 91 nt
Filed under: Capra hircus (goat)
Lineage: Eukaryota; Metazoa; Chordata; Mammalia; Artiodactyla; Bovidae
Source: RNAcentral
AACAAAUACUAAAACUGGAAGGAUACAGAGAAGAUUAGCAUGACCCCUGCACAAGGAUGACAUGCAAAUUUGCAAAGCAUUUCAUAAAUUU